Molecule: ribosomal RNA, 565 nt
Filed under: uncultured Leucobacter sp.
Lineage: Bacteria; Bacillati; Actinomycetota; Actinomycetes; Micrococcales; Microbacteriaceae
Description: bacterial SSU rRNA
Rfam family: Bacterial small subunit ribosomal RNA
Source: RNAcentral
UCCUACGGGAGGCAGCAGUGGGGAAUAUUGCACAAUGGGCGCAAGCCUGAUGCAGCAACGCCGCGUGAGGGAUGACGGCCUUCGGGUUGUAAACCUCUUUUAGUAGGGAAGAAGCGUGACGGUACCUGCAGAAAAAGCACCGGCUAACUACGUGCCAGCAGCCGCGGUAAUACGUAGGGUGCAAGCGUUGUCCGGAAUUAUUGGGCGUAAAGAGCUCGUAGGCGGCUUGUCGCGUCUGCUGUGAAAACCCGGGGCUCAACCCCGGGCCUGCAGUGGGUACGGGCAGGCUAGAGUGCGGUAGGGGAGAUUGGAAUUCCUGGCGUAGCGGUGGAAUGCGCAGAUAUCAGGAGGAACACCGAUGGCGAAGGCAGAUCUCUGGACCGUAACUGACGCUGAGGAGCGAAAGCAUGGGGAGCGAACAGGAUUAGAUACCCUGGUAGUCCAUGCCGUAAACGUUGGGAACUAGAUGUAGGGCCUGUUCCACGGGUUCUGUGUCGUAGCUAACGCAUUAAGUUCCCCGCCUGGGGAGUACGGCCGCAAGGCUAAAACUCAAAGGAAUUGACGG